RNAcentral lists this ribosomal RNA (461 nucleotides) under Garthiella sp. nov. JCYL-2010. RNAcentral's name for it is "partial 16S ribosomal RNA". It matches the Rfam family "Bacterial large subunit ribosomal RNA", at positions 1951 to 2612 of the family's 2925-position model. The record is from RNAcentral. Lineage: Eukaryota; Metazoa; Arthropoda; Malacostraca; Decapoda; Xanthidae.
CAAAGGUAGCAUAAUCAUUAGUUUUUUAAUUGGAAACUGGUAUGAAAGGUCGGACAAAGGAAUAGCUGUCUAGAAUAUAAUAGUUGAAAUUUACUUUUAAGUUAAAAGGCUUAAAUGUCUCAAAGGGACGAUAAGACCCUAUAAAGCUUUACAUAUUAUUUAAACUUAACUCAUUUAGUUUAAUAAAGGUUAGAUUUGGUUGUUAUGUUUUGUUGGGGCGACAUAAAUAUAAUUAAUAUUAACUGUUUAAGUUGAAUACAGUAUAUAAGUGGUUUAGAAUGAAUGAUCCUUUAUAAAGAUUAGGAGAUUAAGUUACUUUAGGGAUAACAGCGUUAUUUUUCUUGAGAGUUCAUAUCGAAAGAGAAGUUUGCGACCUCGAUGUUGAAUUAAAAUUUCUAUUUAGUGCAGCCGCUAAAAAAGAAGGUCUGUUCGACCUUUAAAUUUUUACAUGAUUUGAGUUC